GACGAACGCUGGCGGCGUGCUUAACACAUGCAAGUCGAACGGAAAGGCCCUGCUUUCGUGGGGUGCUCGAGUGGCGAACGGGUGAGUAACACGUGAGUAACCUGCCCUUGACUUUGGGAUAACUUCAGGAAACUGGGGCUAAUACCGGAUAGGAGCUCCUGCUGCAUGGUGGGGGUUGGAAAGUUUCGGCGGUUGGGGAUGGACUCGCGGCUUAUCAGCUUGUUGGUGGGGUAGUGGCUUACCAAGGCUUUGACGGGUAGCCGGCCUGAAAGGGUGACCGGCCACAUUGGGACUGAGAUACGGCCCAGACUCCUACGGGAGGCAGCAGUGGGGAAUAUUGCACAAUGGGCGGAAGCCUGAUGCAGCAACGCCGCGUGCGGGAUGACGGCCUUCGGGUUGUAAACCGCUUUCGCCUGUGACGAAGCGUGAGUGACGGUAAUGGGUAAAGAAGCACCGGCUAACUACGU
RNAcentral lists this ribosomal RNA (467 nucleotides) under uncultured bacterium. RNAcentral's name for it is "partial 16S ribosomal RNA". It matches the Rfam family "Bacterial small subunit ribosomal RNA", at positions 28 to 506 of the family's 1533-position model. The record is from RNAcentral.